CAAAGGUAGCAUAAUCAUUAGUUUUUUAAUUGAAAACUUGUAUGAAUGGUUGGACAAGAAAAUUUCUGUCUUUGUAGUAGAAAUUGAAUUUAACUUUUAAGUGAAAAGGCUUAAAUUUUUCAAGGGGACGAUAAGACCCUAAAAACUUUAUAAAUUAUCUAAAUUUUAUAAAAUUAAUUAAUAAUUAUCGAAUUUAGGUGUUAUAUUUUGUUGGGGCGACAUAGGUAUAAUUAAUUAUUAACUGCUUAUAUUUUUAACAUAUAUAAAUGAUUGUGUAAAUGAUCCUUAUUAAAGAUUCAAGUUUAAGUUACUUUAGGGGUAACAGCGUCAUUUUCUUUGAGAGUUCAUAUCGAAAGGAGAGUUUGCGACCUCGAUGUUGAAUUAAAUUUCUUUUUAGUGCAGAAGCUAAGGAAAGAGGGUCUGUUC
RNAcentral lists this ribosomal RNA (426 nucleotides) under Piloslambrus guerini. RNAcentral describes it as "partial 16S ribosomal RNA". It matches the Rfam family "Archaeal large subunit ribosomal RNA", at positions 2028 to 2651 of the family's 2987-position model. Lineage: Eukaryota; Metazoa; Arthropoda; Malacostraca; Decapoda; Parthenopidae. The record is from RNAcentral.